Long non-coding RNA from Triticum dicoccoides, 799 nucleotides. RefSeq lists it as uncharacterized. NCBI's taxonomy places the organism in Eukaryota, Viridiplantae, Streptophyta, Magnoliopsida, Poales, Poaceae. The transcript is spliced from 2 exons. The record is from RefSeq and is a predicted model, not a curated record.
CCCUCCCCAUCCAUGGCGGCCGCCACUACACCAAGACAAACGCUGGUAGCCGCCGCUGCAACCUCGCAAUCCAUAGCAUCUUCCCCUCUGCAUUUCGCAACCUCCGCAUUAGCAGCCGCCGCCACAUACUUUUCAUCCACGGCCAUCUUCUUCUCUGCAUCUCGCACCGACCAUCCGCCGCCGCGACGUUAGCCUCGUCUAGUAGGCGAGGACGCCCCUGAAGGCGGACCAGUGCACACGGCGCCGGUGCCAUUGCUAUGGACGGUACCUGGUGCAUCGAGUGACCUGGUCCCUCAUGGGCAUGCAGAAGCUAGAUGGGCCAGGUGCGUUGACUACAAGCGUCCUCGAGGUCCCGCUUCAGACUUGCCUGGUGAUUUUCUGUCGCAUAGGACUGGCGGGAUCCUCAGAUAGCUGUGAGCCGCAUGUCCCACCAGGUAAUACAGGUUCCAUGGACUCUUCAUCGAUGGAGACAAAUCUCUGGUUAGGACCAUGGUUCGAGGCAAGAUGGUUGCAAAAAUGGUGUCUCCCUCUGAUGAAUUUGACGAGUACGGCAGGGUCCAUGUCCACAAAGGCACAAGGAUUUAACCCUAGUUGGCGUAUGGCGAGCGCCGCCGGCGGUUGAGGAGCUGGAGAGUAGCUUAGUGUUCUCCAGGAGCUUUGCAAUUUUAUUUUUUUAGCAAUCUUUUUUGCUUUCUUUUUUGAGGGAAAGAUCUUGUUGCUUUGUACAGGUGUAUUUCCCUGUUAGUUUAUGUAACUUACAUUUUAUUUAAUGAAAUGAGCAUAUAUUUUUCUGACAAAA